Molecule: long non-coding RNA, 1455 nt
Organism: Saccostrea cuccullata (small rock oyster)
Lineage: Eukaryota; Metazoa; Mollusca; Bivalvia; Ostreida; Ostreidae
Exons: 7
Source: RefSeq, a predicted model, not a curated record
GUCAUAAAAACUUCAUCUCGCUGCUUUGGCUCUCGGCAUCUAUAACUGCAAAUGUUCCAUUUUUCUGUGUCCGUACAAUGUCCUGAAACUUCUCUUUACUUAGUCUUCUUAUGGGAACUAGAAGUUUGACUGGGCUGGUGGUCCCUAUUUUCUUCUGGCCUUUGUUGUGAGGAAUACUUCCUUUUUUGUAUUGAUGUUGAUGCAACCAUUUUGGUCCUUUUUUUGGCAUGAUAAUUAUUUAACUGUAUACUUGUAGACUUUUUCUAAGAAUAUGCUAUUGUAUGUGGUGCACAUUUUUAAGUAUUGUAAACUUUUGUGUUGUUUAUUUAUUUUAGAGCUGCCAGGACUUUUAAGAGAAACUCCAUUCUUUGAUGACUGGUGGAAAAGCCUCAUCACCCCCCACUGCUUAAGAACCCCUUAUCUUAAUCACCAGCCAUUAAUCAGUGAUCACUGUUAUCAAAGCUCCAAGGUGUGCAUGAUGCAACUUCCUGGAUGGUGUGUAGGCUGUUUGUCAACAUGUGAAUCUCACGUGCAUUUCAGGGUAGUUAAAAGAGAAAGCUGAGGCUCAAGAAAAAGAAAGACUGAAAGAAGAAGCUUGAAAGUAUAUUUUGUAAGUGCAAAGAACAAAGUUUCCAAUGAUACCAAGGAUUUGUCUGAAAUUACAAUAGAGUUUGGUCCACUUGGCCACCAGUUGGCUUCGGAGCGAGCUGCCCGGACCGUGAUUUGAUGAGUGAACUGCACUGUGCGCCCGACCAGCAAAGUUUCUUGUGAAAGUAACAUUUCGAGGCAGGGAUCGCCGCGGAGUUCUGUUGAAGCUUUCGACCUUUUGCGAGUUGGUGUUUUUGAUCGUCCUGUCCAGUACAGCUGGAGACAACCUCUUAGAGAUGCAGGCAUGGAGCCUUGCCUCAUUUUCCGCGGAAGACGACCGUCCUUAUAGAGGGAAUCUGCAGCUCGACCGGCAGAGCUGUCCGGGUCAGUGGUUACCUCCCUUACCUCAAGCCCAUCUUUGCAGAGGAGUUCCGCCAUUCCCUCCCAAGUGAACUCAUCCCCGGUAUGGUGCAUUGGUAGAUUUGCCCCACACACCCCAGGACUGCAGUGGUGAUUAGCAGUACCCUCAUCCAAGACUUUCGCGUAGGAGGGGGAGUGUUGGUAGAAGAAAGAAUUUUCCUCAUCCCAUCAUUGCCUAUAGGGGUUUGACUGAGGCCAACUUGAAGCCCAUAGUUAACAGUGGCAGCUUUCCUACCCCGGGAUUUGGUCUCUACCUCCUCAUACAGAUUGUACCGCCUUGAUACAUAUAGACACUUAGUACAUCGAAGGCCCAUCCGGCUUCCCAGACAACGCCUCUCUUCUGAUGCCAGAUCCCAAUCAAGCGGUCCAUCGCACCUCGGACUCCCUUGCUGGUGGAGAGAAAUCACCUCAUUCCACAUCUCGGCUGUUUUCCCAUGGUGUAGCAGU